UACGUAGGUGGCAAGCGUUGUCCGGAAUUAUUGGGCGUAAAGCGCGCGCAGGCGGUUCCUUAAGUCUGAUGUGAAAGCCCACGGCUCAACCGUGGAGGGUCAUUGGAAACUGGGGAACUUGAGUGCAGGAGAGAAGAGUGGAAUUCCACGUGUAGCGGUGAAAUGUGUAGAGAUGUGGAGGAACACCAGUGGCGAAGGCGACUCUUUGGCCUGUAACUGACACUGAGGCGCGAAAGCGUGGGGAGCAAACAGG
Molecule: ribosomal RNA, 253 nt
Filed under: uncultured bacterium
Lineage: Bacteria
Description: partial 16S ribosomal RNA
Rfam family: Bacterial small subunit ribosomal RNA
Source: RNAcentral